GGGCCCGUGGUCUAGUCCGGCUAUGACACUUCCUUGACGUGGAAGGGGUCCCCGGUUCGAAUCCGGGCGGGCCCA
RNAcentral lists this transfer RNA (75 nucleotides) under Candidatus Woesearchaeota archaeon. Its description in RNAcentral is "tRNA-Val". It matches the Rfam family "tRNA". From Rfam's summary of the family: Transfer RNA (tRNA) molecules are approximately 80 nucleotides in length. Their secondary structure includes four short double-helical elements and three loops (D, anti-codon, and T loops). Further hydrogen bonds mediate the characteristic L-shaped molecular structure. tRNAs have two regions of fundamental functional importance: the anti-codon, which is responsible for specific mRNA codon recognition, and the 3' end, to which the tRNAs corresponding amino acid is attached (by aminoacyl-tRNA synthetases). tRNAs cope with the degeneracy of the genetic code in two manners: having more than one tRNA (with a specific anti-codon) for a particular amino acid; and 'wobble' base-pairing, i.e. permitting non-standard base-pairing at the 3rd anti-codon position. The record is from RNAcentral. Lineage: Archaea; Nanobdellati; Candidatus Woesearchaeota.